UCACAGGGAAGAGCAACCCAGCCCGGGAGGAGCGGGAGGAGCGGGAGGAGCGACUCUUUUUGGCCUUUGCUUCCCGGCCGGUGGAGGGCUCCCCAGAGCACGUCGCCUCA
MicroRNA precursor from Gallus gallus (chicken), 110 nucleotides. The record is from Ensembl. Lineage: Eukaryota; Metazoa; Chordata; Aves; Galliformes; Phasianidae.